RNAcentral lists this long non-coding RNA (2231 nucleotides) under Citrus x clementina. Its description in RNAcentral is "Citrus clementina (C. clementina) long non-coding RNA (CCLE_LNC005698)". Lineage: Eukaryota; Viridiplantae; Streptophyta; Magnoliopsida; Sapindales; Rutaceae. The record is from RNAcentral.
GUUAUAUCAAUAUAAUUGACAAUAAUAAUUUUAUUUCCUAAUUAAAUAAGUAUAGCUUUGAUUUUUUAUAAUAUACGUAAGACAUAUAUAAAAUUGCAUUAAGUAUACGAUUGAUUCUCAAAAUGAGACUUUAAAAAGCUAAUCCUCUCAUAUUUUUCAAAAUCUACUAUAGGAUAAGUGAUUUUAUUAUAAGUGAUUUUGAAAAUUUUAUCAAAUACCAAAAUUAACUUUUAUUUCUUUAAAAUCAUUUUUGAGUUUCUCUAAAACAAUCUCGGACAAACUUUUCAUGUCUUAUUCGCCCUUUCUCACUCUUUGCAAAUGAGAUGGUAACUUAAUUUUACCAUAUUAGGUUAGUACGUUUGACUGACGUACUUGGUUAAAAGGUAAAUUGAAUUUAUCUAAAUAAGUAAACUUAACGAAAGUUAAUGCAUGCCUGAGAGAAUGUUAAUGACAGAGUUAAUAGUAACCAUAUUAUUAUUUUAUAUCGCUAUUUAUUUACAAGAAAUAGUUAAUUAAUUACUCCACCGGAUACAUGAAUAUCAAAACCUGUCUAAUUUACUAAAACAAUUGAUGGAUACCAUCUAAAUAGCUUUUCAUUAUCAACGUGUAUUAGAUUAAGGUGGCGUUUGUUUUUUAACUUAAUGACUUAAAGUGACUUAACUUAAUUAAUUAAGUUAAUUAGAGGUGUUUGUUUUUAUAACUUAAUGAGACUUUUUAGAUAAUUUUGACUUAAUAAAAUUAGCCAAUUUUUUUAGCUUUUUACUUAAUGGAGAAAUUUGAAUUAAGUCAAUUACUUACUAAUGUCAAAAAUAUCCAUGUUUUAUAAUUUAUUUUUCAUGUUUAUCCCAAAACUCACCCAUAGACAUUUAUCCCACAUAAAAAUAUCCUUAUUUUUUCUUUCUUAUAUUAUAUACGAUAAAAAUUAAAAUUUAUGGUAUUUUAUAUAUAAAAAUUCCAAAAUAAUUAUGUAUUCACUUGAAUAUAGUUUUACUUAUAAAUAUUAAAACAUUGUGGUAUUUAAUAUAUUAUUUAUUUGACAUUCAAAUUUAAUAAGGAUACAAAAGUAAAAGUACAUAUUUUCAGCUUUUUCAGUUGAAAAAAAUAAAUAAUUUAAUACUUAUUUUCUGAGAUUCAGAUGAAAAAACAAACAUGUUAUUCGGAUUCAGACAUUCAGAUCUAUUCAGAAUUCAGACUAAUUCAGGUCUAUUCAGAUUUCAGACAAAAAAACAAACGCCACCUAAGUUACGAGUUCACGUAGAAUAAUAUUAUUUGUACUAGAAAUAGUAUAAAAUUUAGUACAAAAUAUUAAAAAAAUUAUUUUGUAACGAAUUUCUCUUUUAUCUUGUAGUGUUUAUAUUAUAAUAAUAAUAAUAAUCAUAAUAAUAAUGUGCUGUUUUUCUUCACACACACACACAUCAGUACAUCACUGUUAGUUGACAUAUCAUUGCAUGCAUAAGUUCAAAAUGAAAUGCCACGUUGCUAUGUGAACUGUGAAGGCAAAUCUACGUCCUCUCAAAGUAUGUAGCAAACGCGGAGCAUGACGUGACGGUACGAGGACGGAGAUACACCGUGAUGAUCAAACAGAUUCUUCCUAAAUCCUAAUCUGCACGCUAGCGAUUAAUUAAUUUCAAUUGAUUUCAAUUUUGGAUCAUUUACCUGAUUCAUUCAAAGGGACCUUACAAACGUACGUGUGAAUGCAUGCAUCCAGUGGAUUGGACCCAUGUGUUUCCUUCAUCUGAUUGAACCAGCCACAAGACCACAUGGGCGUCUUCCCUAUGUGCAGAUAAAACGUGUUUCAUGCUUCUAGCUCCGGCAUAAUUUUAAGAUUAAUGUAACAUACACACUCAACAACAACCACACAAAUGAUGGGCCCACACAAUUUAUGUGGUUGUUGUUGAGUGUGUAUAUUACAUUAAUUGUAACAUAGCAUUUGCCUAAUUUUAAUGGCCGUUGAAAAAUCCGAGGCCAAGCUCAAGAUUCAUGUGGUCGUCAAUAUUGCCAUUUAUCCUUCCACUCGACUGAUUACGAUGCUACCAAUUUGUGACUUGUUAUAAACUUAUACAAAAGAGUGGUUUAAUUAAGGUGAUCAACGUAUGACUUUAUAAGCUCAAAAUAUUGAAAAUGAAAGAAAAUUCUAGUUUAAUCACAAUAUUUUUGUGGUGAGGAUAAUUUUUCGGUCAGAAAAUAAUUGGUGGCAAAUUAAACUUAAUACCAUCAGUUCAAUACUUUUA